This 497-nucleotide ribosomal RNA is filed under the name uncultured bacterium. RNAcentral's name for it is "partial 16S ribosomal RNA". It matches the Rfam family "Bacterial small subunit ribosomal RNA", at positions 28 to 507 of the family's 1533-position model. The record is from RNAcentral.
GAUGAACGCUGGCGGCGUGCCUAAUACAUGCCAGUCGAGCGAACAGACGAGGAGCUUGCUCCUCUGACGUUAGCGGCGGACGGGUGAGUAACACGUGGAUAACCUACCUAUAAGACUGGGAUAACUUCGGGAAACCGGAGCUAAUACCGGAUAAUAUAUUGAACCGCAUGGUUCAAUAGUGAAAGACGGUUUUGCUGUCACUUAUAGAUGGAUCCGCGCCGCAUUAGCUAGUUGGUAAGGUAACGGCUUACCAAGGCAACGAUGCGUAGCCGACCUGAGAGGGUGGUCGGCCACACUGGAAGUGAGACGCGGUCCAGACGCCUACGGGAGGCAGCAGUAGGGAAUCUUCCGCAAUGGGCGGAAGCUUGACGGAGCAACGCCGCGUGAGUGAUGAAGGUCUUCGGAUCGUAAAACUCGGUUAUUAGGGAAGAACAAAUGUGUAAGUAACUAUGCACGUCUUGACGGUACCUGAUCAGAAAGCCACGGCUAACUACGUG